GAUGAACGCUAGCGGGAGGCUUAAUACAUGCAAGUCGAGCGGCAAGGUCUUCGGACCCUAGAGCGGCGCACGGGUGAGUAACGCGUACGCAAUCUGCCCUUCAGUGAGGAAUAGCCCUGGGAAACUGGGAUUAAUACCUCAUAACAUUAUCUGUUCGCAUGGAUAGAUAAUUAAAGUUCUGGCGCUGAAGGAUGGGCGUGCGUCUGAUUAGCUAGUUGGUAGGGUAACGGCCUACCAAGGCGACGAUCAGUAGGGGGCGUGAGAGCGUGACCCCCCACACGGGUACUGAGACACGGACCCGACUCCUACGGGAGGCAGCAGUAAGGAAUAUUGGGCAAUGGAGGCAACUCUGACCCAGCCAUCCCGCGUGAAGGAUUAAGGCCCU
RNAcentral lists this ribosomal RNA (385 nucleotides) under uncultured bacterium. RNAcentral describes it as "bacterial SSU rRNA". It matches the Rfam family "Bacterial small subunit ribosomal RNA", at positions 28 to 418 of the family's 1533-position model. The record is from RNAcentral.